GAUGAACGCUGGCGGCGUGCCUAAUACAUGCAAGUCGAGCGAACAGACGAGGAGCUUGCUCCUCUGACGUUAGCGGCGGACGGGUGAGUAACACGUGGAUAACCUACCUAUAAGACUGGGAUAACUUCGGGAAACCGGAGCUAAUACCGGAUAAUAUAUUGAACCGCAUGGUUCAAUAGUGAAAGACGGUUUUGCUGUCACUUAUAGAUGGAUCCGCGCCGCAUUAGCUAGUUGGUAAGGUAACGGCUUACCAAGGCAACGAUGCGUAGCCGACCUGAGAGGGUGAUCGGCCACACUGGAACUGAGACACAGUCCAGACUCCUACGGGAGGCAGCAGUAGGGAAUCUUCCGCAAUGGGCGAAAGCCUGACGGAGCAACGCCGCGUGAGUGAUGAAGGUCUUCGGAUCGUAAAACUCUGCUAUUAGGGAAGAACAAAUGUGUAAGUAACUAUGCACGUCUUGACGGUACCUAAUCAGAAAGCCACGGCUAACUACGUG
Molecule: ribosomal RNA, 497 nt
Filed under: uncultured bacterium
Lineage: Bacteria
Description: partial 16S ribosomal RNA
Rfam family: Bacterial small subunit ribosomal RNA
Source: RNAcentral